CAGUCGCCGCGGUAAUACGUAGGUGGCAAGCGUUGUCCGGAAUUAUUGGGCGUAAAGCGCACGUAGGCGGCUUUGUAAGUUAGAGGUGAAAGCCCGGGGCUCAACCCCGGAAUUGCCUUUAAGACUGCAGGGCUAGCAGGUGAGAGAGGUGAGUGGAAUUCCGAGUGUAGAGGUGAAAUUCGUAGAUAUUCGGAAGAACACCAGUGGCGAAGGCGGCUCACUGGCUCAUACUGGACGCUGGGGUGCGAAAGCGUGGGGAGCAAACAGGAUUAGAUACCCCGGUAGUCCCUGUCUCUUAUAC
This 301-nucleotide ribosomal RNA is filed under the name uncultured bacterium. RNAcentral describes it as "partial 16S ribosomal RNA". It matches the Rfam family "Bacterial small subunit ribosomal RNA", at positions 509 to 807 of the family's 1533-position model. The record is from RNAcentral.